UACGGGGGGAGCAAGCGUUGUUCGGAUUUACUGGGCGUAAAGGGCGCGUAGGCGGCCAGCACAAGUCGGUUGUGAAAUCUCCGGGCUUAACUCGGAAAGGUCAACCGAUACUGUGCGGCUAGAGUGCGGAAGGGGCAACUGGAAUUCUCGGUGUAGCGGUGAAAUGCGUAGAUAUCGAGAGGAACACCUGCGGCGAAGGCGGCUCUCUGGGACGGUACCGACGCUGAGACGCGAAAGCGUGGGGAGCGAACAGG
RNAcentral lists this ribosomal RNA (254 nucleotides) under uncultured bacterium. RNAcentral's name for it is "partial 16S ribosomal RNA". It matches the Rfam family "Bacterial small subunit ribosomal RNA", at positions 524 to 776 of the family's 1533-position model. The record is from RNAcentral.